AAUGGUAGUCAACGCUUAGUUCAU
Molecule: non-coding RNA, 24 nt
Filed under: Arabidopsis thaliana (thale cress)
Lineage: Eukaryota; Viridiplantae; Streptophyta; Magnoliopsida; Brassicales; Brassicaceae
Source: RNAcentral